GGCUUGGUAGCGGAAGGUCCGCAUCUGCACUCUAUUAUUAGAACCAACACCAUCCUGCAGACAACGCCUGUUCGAUUCGGGCCCUAGCCA
Molecule: non-coding RNA, 90 nt
Organism: Mycena capillaripes
Lineage: Eukaryota; Fungi; Basidiomycota; Agaricomycetes; Agaricales; Mycenaceae
Source: the annotation of a GenBank genome assembly